RNAcentral lists this ribosomal RNA (485 nucleotides) under uncultured bacterium. Its description in RNAcentral is "bacterial SSU rRNA". It matches the Rfam family "Bacterial small subunit ribosomal RNA", at positions 28 to 507 of the family's 1533-position model. The record is from RNAcentral.
GAUGAACGCUAGCGGGAGGCUUAACACAUGCAAGUCGAGGGGCAUCACGAGGUAGCAAUACUUUGGUGGCGACCGGCGCACGGGUGAGUAACACGUAUGCAACCUACCCUGUACAGGGGGAUAACCCGGAGAAAUUCGGACUAAUAUCCCAUGCAAUUAUUGGAGGCAUCCUUUGAUAAUUAAAGCUCAGGCGGUAUAGGAUGGGCAUGCGGAACAUUAGCUAGUUGGUAGGGUAACGGCCUACCAAGGCUACGAUGUUUAGGGGACCUGAGAGGGUUAUCCCCCACACCGGUACUGAGACACGGACCAGACUCCUACGGGAGGCAGCAGUGAGGAAUAUUGGUCAAUGGGCGCAAGCCUGAACCAGCCAUCCCGCGUGAAGGAAGAAGGCCCUAUGGGUUGUAAACUUCUUUUCCAGGGGGUGAAUAAUUCCGAUGUAUCGGGAGAUGACGGUACCCUGGGAAUAAGCAUCGGCUAACUCCGUG